Molecule: ribosomal RNA, 200 nt
Filed under: uncultured bacterium
Lineage: Bacteria
Description: partial 16S ribosomal RNA
Rfam family: Bacterial small subunit ribosomal RNA
Source: RNAcentral
AGAGUUUGAUCCUGGCUCAGAAUCAACGCUGGCGGCGCGCCUAACACAUGCAAGUCGAACGAGAAAGGGGAGCAAUCCCUGAGUACAGUGGCGUACGGGUGAGUAACACGUGGGUAAUCUGCCCUUUGGUGGGGAAUAACCCUGGGAAACCGGGGCUAAUACCGCAUAAGUCCGAGAGGAGAAAGCAGCAAUGCGCCGAA